GUAAACGAUGUCUACUUGGAGGUUGUGCCCUUGAGGCGUGGCUUCCGGAGCUAACGCGUUAAGUCGACCGCCUGGGGAGUACGGCCGCAAGGUUAAAACUCAAAUGAAUUGACGGGGCCCGCACAAGCGGUGGAGCAUGUGGUUUAAUUCUAUGCAACGCGAAGAACCUUACCUGGUCUUGACAUCCACUCAACUUUCCAGAGAUGGAUUGGUGCCUUCGGGAACUGUGAGACAGGUGCUGCAUGGCUGUCGUCAGCUCGUGUUGUGAAAUGUUGGGUUAAGUCCCGCAACGAGCGCAACCCUUAUCCUUUGUUGCCAGCGGUCCGGCCGGGAACUCAAAGGAGACUGCCAGUGAUAAACUGGAGGAAGGUGGGGAUGACGUCAAGUCAUCAUGGCCCUUACGACCAGGGCUACACACGUGCUACAAUGGCGCAUACAAAGAGAAGCGACCUCGCGAGAGCAAGCGGACCUCAUAAAGUGCGUCGUAAUCCGGAUUGGAGUCUGCAACUCGACUCCAUGAAGUCGGAAUCGCUAGUAAUCGUGGAUCAGAAUGCCACGGU
Molecule: ribosomal RNA, 560 nt
Filed under: Escherichia sp.
Lineage: Bacteria; Pseudomonadati; Pseudomonadota; Gammaproteobacteria; Enterobacterales; Enterobacteriaceae
Description: bacterial SSU rRNA
Rfam family: Bacterial small subunit ribosomal RNA
Source: RNAcentral